Long non-coding RNA from Onthophagus taurus, 808 nucleotides. RefSeq lists it as uncharacterized. The record is from RefSeq and is a predicted model, not a curated record. Lineage: Eukaryota; Metazoa; Arthropoda; Insecta; Coleoptera; Scarabaeidae.
AUGUCGCUAACAUCACUGCGUCAAAUCUGUCAAUGACUAUAAAAAUUGUAAAAACCACCAACAACAGGAAAAUUGAUAUUAUUUUUGGGUUAUAACGAUUAAAAAUGUGCAUUAUCGACUUUAAAGCACCGUGGGGGGCCAUUUUCGUUUAAACUAUUAUGUAUAUGUCUUCGAGGUACCUUCUCCUCAAUUAUUUCAUGCUUGGGGUGAUUGUAAUUUUCACCGGGGGCUUACUUCUACAACUUUGUCGCUUGUAUAGUGUCCGGGAGAGUAUGCGAACGCUUGAUUCAUACGAUAACGAGGUGGAAAUUUUAAUCAAUCGGAUGAAACACAUCAAUAAAAUUUCACGGUAUAACUUUAAUUUGCUACAAAAAAUCGAGGAUGCUGUUCAUAACAGCACUAAAUACUCUGGGAAGCUACGGUGACGAUUUGUUAGAAAUAGAAGAAAAAUAACCUAAGAUAUUUUUGGUUUUUCGAUUUAGUUUUUUUGGUUAUGUUAUUUAAAAUGAGAAAGAGGCCAGUAGAUGCACAAAGAUAUAUUUUUAAUUUUUAGAAAGUAGGUAAAAAGAGUUCUAUUUAAUUAUUAAAAAAAAUAACUUAAUAGGCAACCAAUAUGGCGCAUGGGCUAAUUAAGUUGCCUAUUUAUUAAUUAUUUUAUUUAAAUAGAAGUUUCUUACACAAAGAAAAUAAUUUUUUAUACCGUGUAGGCAAUAAAAGAAACUGUUAAUUUUAAAAGUUUUUAUACAAACGUUGGUUAAUUUUUAUAGAUGUUUAUUACUGUGUUGAAUAAAAACUAACCUAAAAAUGU